UACAGAGGUCCCAAGCGUUGUUCGGAUUCACUGGGCGUAAAGGGUGCGUAGGCGGUCGGGUAAGUCUGAUGUGAAAUCUCACAGCUUAACUGUGAAACUGCAUUGGAUACUAUCCGGCUAGAGGAAUGGAGGGGAGACUGGAAUACUUGGUGUAGCAGUGAAAUGCGUAGAUAUCAAGUGGAACACCAGUGGCGAAGGCGAGUCUCUGGGCCGUAACUGACGCUGAGGAGCGAAAGCGUGGGGAGCGAACAGG
This 253-nucleotide ribosomal RNA is filed under the name uncultured bacterium. Its description in RNAcentral is "partial 16S ribosomal RNA". It matches the Rfam family "Bacterial small subunit ribosomal RNA", at positions 524 to 776 of the family's 1533-position model. The record is from RNAcentral.